GGGGAGCAAGCGAGAGUGAGUUUACCCGUUGAAUAAGCACCGGCUAUCUACGUGCCAGCAGCCGCGGUAAUACGUAGGGUGCAAGCGUUAUCCGGAAUUAUUGGGCGUAAAGGGCUCGUAGGCGGUUCGUCGCGUCCGGUGUGAAAGUCCAUCGCUUAACGGUGGAUCCGCGCCGGGUACGGGCGGGCUUGAGUGCGGUAGGGGAGACUGGAAUUCCCGGUGUAACGGUGGAAUGUGUAGAUAUCGGGAAGAACACCAAUGGCGCCUCGCAGGUCUCUGGGCCGUUACUGACGCUGAGGAGCGAAAGCGUGGGGAGAGAACAAAAUUAGCUACCCUGGUAGUCCACGCCGUAAACGGGGGAUGCUGGAUGUGGGGCCCGUUCCACGGGUUCCGUGUCGGAGCUAACGCGUUAAGCAUCCCGCCUGGGGAGUACGGCCGCAAGGCUAAAACUCAAAGAAAUUGACGGGGGCCCGCACAAGCGGCGGAGCAUGCGGAUUAAUUCGAUGCAACGCGAAGAACCUUACCUGGGCUUGACAUGUUCCCGACGGUCGUAGAGAUACGGCUUCCCUUCGGGGCGGGUUCACAGGUGGUGCAUGGUCGUCGUCAGCUCGUGUCGUGAGAUGUUGGGUUAAGUCCCGCAACGAGCGCAACCCUCGCCCCGUGUUGCCAGCGGAUUAUGCCGGGAACUCACGGGGGACCGCCGGGGUUAACUCGGAGGAAGGUGGGGAUGACGUUAGAUCAUCAUGCCCCUUACGUCCAGGGCUUCACGCAUGCUACAAUGGCCGGUACAACGGGAUGCGACGCGGCGACGCGGAGCGGAUCCCUGAAAACCGGUCUCAGUUCGGAUCGCAGUCUGCAACUCGACUGCGUGAAGGCGGAGUCGCUAGUAAUCGCGAAUCAGCAACGUCGCGGUGAAUGCGUUCCCGGGCCUUGCAC
Molecule: ribosomal RNA, 936 nt
Filed under: uncultured bacterium
Lineage: Bacteria
Description: bacterial SSU rRNA
Rfam family: Bacterial small subunit ribosomal RNA
Source: RNAcentral